GUGGCGAAAGGGUGAGUAACGCGUGGGUAAUUAACCCUUAGGCUCGGGACAACACCUCGAAAGGGGUGCUAAUACCGGACGUGAUGGUUUUUGCAUAAGCAAAAACCGUGAAAGGCGGGGACCUGUUGAGGGCCCGUCACCUUUGGAUAAGCCCGCGUCCUAUCAGCUUGUUGGUGAGGUAACGGCUCACCAAGGCAUUUGACGGGUAGCUGGUCUGAGAGGAUGGUCAGCCACACUGGGACUGAGACACUGCCCAGACUCCUACGGGAGGCUGCAGUCGAGAAUCUUUCGCAAUGGGGGAAACCCUGACGAAGCGACGCCGCGUGAGCGAUGAAGGCCUUCGGGUUGUAAAGCUCUGUCACGCAAGACGAUUACCCGCGAUCUAACAGAUCAAGGGAAGGACUGUACUGCGAGAGGAAGCCACGGCUAACUCCGUGCCAGCAGCCGCGGUAAUACGGAGGUGGCAAGCGUUGUUCGGAUUCAUUGGGUGUAAAGGGCAUGUAGGCGGCUCUAUAAGUCGGACGUGAAAUCCCUUGGCUUAACCAAGGAACUGCGUCCGAUACUGUAAGGCUUUGGGUGCAGGAGAGGAGAACGGAAUUCCCGGUGUAAGAGUGAAAUCUGUAGAGAUCGGGAGGAACACCAGUGGCGAAGGCGGUUCUCUGGACUGCAACUGACGCUGAAAUGCGAAAGCUAGGGGAGCAAACAGGAUUAGAUACCCUGGUAGUCCUAGCUGUAAACGAUGGGUACUAGGUGUAGGCAUGAAAGUGUCUGUGCCGCAGUUAACACGUUAAGUACCCCACCUGGGGACUACGACCGCAAGGUUAAAACUCAAAGGAAUUGACGGGGACCCGCACAAGCGGUGGAGCAUGUGGUUUAAUACGACGCUACGCGUGGAACCUUACCAGGACUUGACAUGUACCUGAAAGCUUGCCGAAAGGUGAGCCCUCCCUCAAGGACAGGUACACAGGUGUUGCAUGGCUGUCGUCAGCUCGUGUCGUGAGAUGUUGGGUUAAGUCCCGCAACGAGCGCAACCAUUGUCUUUAGUUGCCACUCUUGAGGCGCAAGCCGAAGGAAGCACUCUAGAGAGACUGCCUGUGUUUAACAGGAGGAAGGUGGAGAUGACGUCAAGUCAGUAUGGCCCUUACGUCCUGGGCUACACACGUGCUACAAUGGCCUGUACAAAGGGAAGCAAGACCGCAAGGUGGAGCAAAUCUCAAAAAACAGGCCCCAGUUCAGAUUGUUGGCUGCAAUUCGCCAACAUGAAGUUGGAAUCGCUAGUAACAGCACAUCAGCCACGGUGCGGUGAAUACGUUCCCGGGUCUUGUACACACCGCCCGUCAAGCC
Molecule: ribosomal RNA, 1344 nt
Filed under: metagenome
Description: bacterial SSU rRNA
Rfam family: Bacterial small subunit ribosomal RNA
Source: RNAcentral